This 402-nucleotide ribosomal RNA is filed under the name bacterium. Its description in RNAcentral is "partial 16S ribosomal RNA". It matches the Rfam family "Bacterial small subunit ribosomal RNA", at positions 355 to 776 of the family's 1533-position model. The record is from RNAcentral.
UGGGGAAUUUUGCACAAUGGGGGAAACCCUGAUGCAGCGACGCCGCGUGAUUUAGAAGGCCUUCGGGUUGUAAAAAUCUUUUCUAUGGGAAGAAAAUGACAGUACCAUAGGAAUAAGGACCGGCUAAUUACGUGCCAGCAGCCGCGGUAAUACGUAAGGUCCGAGCGUUGAACGGAAUCAUUGGGCGUAAAGGGUACGUAGGCGGGUAAGCAAGUUAGAAGUGAAAUCCUAUAGCUCAACUAUAGUAAGCUUUUAAAACUGCUCAUCUUGAGGUAUGGAAGGGAAAGUGGAAUUCCUAGUGUAGCGGUGAAAUGCGCAGAUAUUAGGGGGAGUACCGGUGGCGAAGGCGACUUUCUGGCCAUAACCUGACGCUGAGGUACGAAAGCGUGGGUAGCAAACAGG